Molecule: ribosomal RNA, 857 nt
Filed under: uncultured bacterium
Lineage: Bacteria
Description: bacterial SSU rRNA
Rfam family: Bacterial small subunit ribosomal RNA
Source: RNAcentral
CAGAAGAGGACAGUGGAACUCCAUGUGUAGCGGUGAAAUGCGUAGAUAUAUGGAAGAACACCAGUGGCGAAGGCGGCUGUCUGGUCUGUAACUGACGCUGAGGCUCGAAAGUAUGGGUAGCAAACAGGAUUAGAUACCCUGGUAGUCCAUACCGUAAACGAUGAAUGCUAAGUGUUGGAGGGUUUCCGCCCUUCAGUGCUGCAGCUAACGCAUUAAGCAUUCCGCCUGGGGAGUACGGCCGCAAGGCUGAAACUCAAAGGAAUUGACGGGGGCCCGCACAAGCGGUGGAGCAUGUGGUUUAAUUCGAAGCUACGCGAAGAACCUUACCAGGUCUUGACAUACUAUGCAAAUCUAAGAGAUUAGACGUUCCCUUCGGGGACAUGGAUACAGGUGGUGCAUGGUUGUCGUCAGCUCGUGUCGUGAGAUGUUGGGUUAAGUCCCGCAACGAGCGCAACCCUUAUUAUCAGUUGCCAGCAUUAAGUUGGGCACUCUGGUGAGACUGCCGGUGACAAACCGGAGGAAGGUGGGGAUGACGUCAAAUCAUCAUGCCCCUUAUGACCUGGGCUACACACGUGCUACAAUGGAUGGUACAACGAGUUGCGAACUCGCGAGAGUAAGCUAAUCUCUUAAAGCCAUUCUCAGUUCGGAUUGUAGGCUGCAACUCGCCUACAUGAAGUCGGAAUCGCUAGUAAUCGCGGAUCAGCAUGCCGCGGUGAAUACGUUCCCGGGCCUUGUACACACCGCCCGUCACACCAUGAGAGUUUGUAACACCCAAAGUCGGUGGGGUAACCUUUUAGGAACCAGCCGCCUAAGGUGGGACAGAUGAUUAGGGUGAAGUCGUAANCAAGGUAGCCGUA